AUCGGCCUGGAGGCUCCCUGGCCUUCCUGCCGGGGUGGAAACGGGUGUCUGCUACCGGGGUUCGUGUGGAGCAGGAAGGGGGAAGGCGACGAGGUGGAAAAGACCGCUGGGCGCCCCGAGGAGGCGGAGCUGCUGGGAGGGGCCUCCCUCCGCCCGAUCCUGUUUAAUCUCAAACUCUAGGCCCUGGGGACGCGCCACCCUUCCCGCCGAGGAGACUGGGUUUUCCUCCCAGGGUUCUCCAAGCAAAGCCUGUCUGUGUUCCAGGCUGGUGCUGACUAGAGGAGGCAAAGCCAAAAUUAGCCCCAGGCCCUCCCUCAAGUAGUGAAGGGGCCACCGGGCCUCCCCUCAACCCGUAGGGGGUCACGGGCCCCGCCCCGCUCCCGGUCAAGACCCUGACAUUGCGGAGGGUCAGGAGGGGGGAGCGAGGAUCCGGGGCCUGGCACCCUGGGUGGGGCACCGUCCCCAGGGAGGGUUGGGCAGGCGCCCCCAGCCUCCAGCCAUCCCGCCCGCUGUGGGCGCCCCGGUGGCCGAGGAGCCAGGAGCGGCUCCCGGGGCUGUGCGCGGAGAACCCGGAAGAAGCGGAGGAGCCCCGGGCGGCGCUGAGCUGUGUCCCUGCCUGAGGGGGGCCCCAGCCCUGAGCCCGCAGCUCCAGAGGCUCCUGGGCCCUCCCCUUCUUCCCAGCACCGUCCCAGGGGGAAGGUAGCCCCCGGCGCAGGCGGGACCCUCGGCAGUCUGGCCCAAGAAACGGGGACCCUGUGGCUUCCUGUGUCUGGUGCCAUCAGGAAGUAGCCCCGAGCCAGAGCACAAAGGGCCUUUGUCCUGCCUGCCCCGCCCAGCGAGACCUCGGGCCCAGCCAGGGCUGGGGGCUGGGGGCUGGGUACCCUCUGGCCGGCUCUGCCACCAGCCGCCAGCCUGGUCCCCGGAGAGCCACACCCCCUCCCCUCCACGGUCCCCACCCGGCUGCCAUGACAAUGUCCUACCCAGCAGGAGGACCAGGCCGGAACCUUUGGCAGCCACCAGUUCCUGGAGAUUCCGACACCAAGUGCAGCCACUGUGCGGGGCCGGGUGUGGAGUGGCCCCACACCGACCAGCUCACGCCAGCUGGCAGAGCCACUGGGCCCCCUCCGUGGAGGAGGAGAGAGGCCUCGGGCGCCACGCGCUGUGCCCCAGGGCCACUCACUUCCUUGGUAGGUGGGGGAUGCCGGCCUGGGCCUCCCGAGACUUGAGCCCUGCCCCUGCCCUUGCCCCCAGAGAGACCUGUGCCAGCGAGCGUCCCAGGCCUCCCCUCCCUGAGCCUUGCACCCGGGCGGUGCGGGGGCCCUGCUGCACCCCAGAGCGGGCAUCAGCCCUCAGCCACUCCGUUAGCAAUCCUCCCCCCAGCUCAGGGCCUCAGAACUGGCCAUCCACGGAGCUCAGAGGCACCCGAGGGCCCUGGGGCCUGGGUAGGGACUGGCCAGCUCGGGGUCCUCCAGCAGCCAUACCCAGGUUCAUCCAGGAUGAAAGCAGGGCAGUGGGAACCACGUGAUUGGUUUAAAAGCAGGUGAGGGGCCGGGCAUGGUGGCUCAUGCCUGUAAUCCUGGCACUUUUGGAGGCCAAGGCAGGCGGAUCACCCGAGGUCAGGAGUUUGAGACUAGCCUGGCCAACACGGCAAAACCCCUGUCUCUACUAAAAAUACAAAAAUUAGCUGGGCAUGGUAGUGCACACCUGUAGUCCCAGCUACUCUGAUGGCUGAGACAGGAGAAUCACUUGAACCCGGGAGGUGGUGGCUGCAGUGAGCCGAGAUCGCACCACUGCACUCCAGCCUGGGCAACAGAGCCAGACUCCAUUUAAAAAAAGAAAAGCAGGUGAGGACGUGUGAGCAAGUCUGGGCCAUGCUGCCAAGCUCCCGCUUCUCCGAGCAGCUCCACACAAGGAGCAGAGGCAGCUCCAGUUCCACAGCCAGACACAGUCAUUUUCCCUCUACUCAGGAAUUAGGCAGGAUGGUGUGGGGCCUGAGUGUCACCAUGAAGCCGGGAAGCAGGUGUUCAGCCAGACGCAAAUAUUCCUCCUCAAAGCCAGGGGAGCGGCCACAGUGGAUUUUAUUAUGGGGCGACGGGGGCACGCCCAGUGCCCCGCCACUCUCCAUGUCCACAGCAGCGAGGGUGGAGGGCCCUGUGCUGUGCAGGGCAGAGCUCGGCUGCACCUGGGCCAGGACACAGCUGCCCAGGUGGGAGGAACCGUGGACGGGGCUGGGGCCUUCCUCGUCCCAGGGCUGGUGAGCUGCUCGCUCACUGUUUCUCAGUUCCAGGUAGACACAGUUUAUAAUUCUGCAGAAAACUCUGGGGCCUUUUGCCUUUGUGUUUUCUUUUUUGAGACAGGGUCUGACUCUGUGGCCCAGGCUGGAGUGCGGUGGUGCGAUCACGGUUCACCGAAGCCUCCACCUCCCAGGCUCAGCAAUCCUCCCACAGGUGGGCCCACAGGUGUGCACCACCACAGCCAGCUAAGUUUUAAAUUUUUUGUAGAGACGGGGUCUCACCAUGUUGCCCAGGCUGGUCUCAAACUCCUGGGCUCAGUUGAUCCGCCCGCCUCGGCCUCCCAAAGUGCUGGGAUUACAGGCGUGAGCCACCGCACCCGGAUGGUGUUUUACCACUGAGGUCAGAGGGCAGACGUUGCUCCAAGCGUUUCGUCUGCGGGUGGAGCUUUGGAACUGAUGGAGAAGGCAGAGUCCUGACCAGGGGCCGCCAUCAGAGCGCAGGGACGGUCGGGGGGGAUGCGCAGGGAGGAGGGAAGGGAAGGAAGGAGGUGCCAAGCCCUCCGCUCAGUGGAGGUCAGUGGAGGUUUGCUUCCUGCUCACACUGGGCCUGAUUGGGUCGGAGGGCACGCGGGGGCCGCUGUCUGUCCUCCGUGGGGCCUUGGCUUGUGUCCAAGGGAGGGAGACAGUAGAGGGACCCACGGCUCUGUGAGGCGUUCCCUGGCAUGACCUCACCUGUGUGCUCUCUCUCCCUGUCUCAGUCAGAGCUGAACCCAGGCUCCUGUGGACCAAGAGGGGGUCCAGGAAGAACUGCUCCUGGGACCCGGACAGAGCGGAGGCCGUGUGCACGAGCAGCGUGGACCAGAGGGGCCUCGGGGGCCACCUGCUCCGUCCGACCAGGCACCAGUCCUUCCAGACUCGCCUGAGGAUGCCCGUGGGCCCCAGCGACACCUGGGGUGCCCCCCACACCCCUGCACCUACCUGAGACCAAGGGUGGUGGUGGGGCUGUGUGCCUGAGUCCUGGCCCUCCCAGGGCCACCCUCAGGAGCGGCUGCACAGGCUCUGGCUGGCCGGGGCUCAGAGCAGCCCACGGAGCCAGGCCCAUCCUGGGAGGCUCAGGGCUGCAGCCCAUGGACUCAUGAGGGGGGCUUCUGGGGUCUAAGGCCAGAAGUGACCUUUCUUCUCACGGAGGCACCCCCACAUCACAGGCCCCAAGCUCCCACCAGGAGUCCCCAGGCAGCAGGUUUUCCACCACAGCCGGGAAGAGCCCCGCCUUCACCACCCACCACCAGCCAAUCCCGAGACCACCGAAGCCCCCAGACCGGGCCCUUUGCCCCUCCUGCCCCCCGGCUCUCCCUACUGCCCAGAGCCUCCGCCAGCACCCAGGGACCCACGUCCACCUCCCAGAGCGGCCCUGCCCAGGGUCCUUCCCUGCCCUCCACGAUUCUCCGUGGCCCUUGGAGAAAGAGCAGCUUCUCCCCAGGCUCUGCCCCCAGCCCUUCCACCCCAGAGCCUCUGCCCAGACGUCCCGUCCCAUCCCGGGGGGCUGUCACGCUUCCGCCCCACCUCUCGCCCAUUCCCGGACAGUCACAGCCGUGGAACAACGCAGCGUGUGGACACAGCCCCAGGGAAGCUUGACUCUGCCUGGUCCCCAUGGCGUGCGGUGGCUCACCAGCCGCCCCCAUCGCUCCAUGAAAUCUGACUACACCUGUCCCAAAAAUCAACCAGCUCCCAGGCAGGUCCCGCCGUGCAGGGGGCCAAGGGCCACACCUGGGACCAGUGAGUGAGGCGGCGUGCGGGUAGUGGGGGUGUGAGCCCGAGACGGGGGUCCAGCCUUCUCCCACUUGGAUGCCAACAGCAGACUCUGGAUUUGGAGGUGUGGGCGGUGCCUUAGUCUCCCCAGAAGACAAGAGCCCACCCGCCGGGUGUGUCCUGACCCCACCCCCACCUGCCCCACACAGACACCUGAGUGGGCAUCAGAGUGGGCCGGGCCCUGACUGUCCGGGGGAGGGACUGUUGGGGCAAGGGCAGUGGGUCAGAGGUCACCGGUGCCCCCAGGACCAGUUUCCAGCGAGAAGAGAGCCAGGAGCCCCGGGCACAGGCCCACGGUGAUGAGGCUCCUGACCGAGCUCCCAGAGCUCAUUAUGGAAAACCGUGGGGUCCGCUGGGACCUCUCUGCUGGUCGGGCUAAUUACAGACCGUUUGUCGUUUCAUUAUGGGCUCUUCCUCUGGGAGAUGCGAGAAGCAAACACUUUGCCAUGGGAGGGGCGCUUCCCGGACCGGGCGGGGGCCCUGCCCUCCCCACCCCCAGACCCCUGGUCCCCCAGGCCUUCCAAGCUCCCAAAGAAAACUUGAACCCCCACUCCAGGGGCUCCAAAGUAACCUCCAGAGCCCAGAUGGGGAUGUUCCGGGAGCUGCUGGGGCCUCUCAGCUGUCCCUGCCUCGCAGGGAGGCUCAGGAAGGCACCCACACCCCUCCCUCAUUCCCCCAGCUGUGGGUCUGUGGGGUCUCGGAGCCUCUUGCCCAUUGGGGUGGGACUGGGGGCACGUAGCUCCUCCGAGCCCCUGGCGAGGAGACCGAUCCUGAGACCCACCUGGGCCUACGGGGGGUCCCUUCAUUGCUCCAAAAUUAAGGGCUGCGGGCCUGGAGCAAAGACAGGCAGGUAUGGCCCCUGCCCUCUGUCCAUGAGAGGCCUCAGCCCCAUGGGACAGGGCACCACCGCUGCAGGGAGGCGGCGGGCAGGUUGUGACCCCUCACCCUGGGGCCACCCUACCCGCUUCUAAGGCAGCCUGGGAAGGAGCCCUGCGGAGCUGGGGGGUGGGGAGGCAGAGGUGGAGAGGCGAGAGUUGCCCGCGGCUGCCCCUACCCCUGCCCAUGUCGCCCACACUCCACACGGGCCCCACAGAAGCCUUCCCAUCCUGGCUUUUGUUCAACCUCGGUGGGCGGCAAGGUGGGGGCGGGACGGAGUCUGCGGGGCCUGCGGGGCCCGGGCCUGCGUCACCGUCACUGGCCCGCCUCCCGCCCGGCCUAUGGGAGCCCAGGGGACACACCUGUCGGGGGCCAGGAGCGGAGAUUGGCCAGCGGGAGCUCGCACCUGUGUGGGGCGGGGAGCACUGCUCCUUGUAAGGCGAGCCCCCGCCGAGCCGGCUCUUCCCUCCCGAGGCCCCCACCUCGCCACCGCCUCCCAUUGUCCCGUCGCCCUCGAAACUCUCCCAGAGACGGGCGAGUUGUCCACCUGUGCAGGUCUGAACUGACUUCCUGUGCCAGGGCCUCGCCUGAGCGGGGGCAGGAAGCUCACCCUUGCAGGUCUCCCCGCGCCAACGGACGCCCUGAGGCCUGACCCUGGCUGAGGCAGAGCACCCAGCUCCGUGGACCGGGACGGACGGGCUCAGGUGCCCCCCAUUCCUUCCGAAGCCGGUUCACACCCACCCGGGCCUGGCACAGGGGAGGCGCUGGCUGCAGGGUCGGGGCGGGAGCAGCCUCAACCCGGCUCCUGGGCCGCGGCCGCAGCAGUGGAACCUGUCGGGGCAGCAGGCCUUCUAGAAAGUUCUCUCCAGAAGCAGCCACCGCCGUCCUGAGGCACUUUGUGCGGAGACGGGAAGCUGUCGCCUCAGAGGUGGGUGCGUAGAAGGGUUUGGCCGGGUGCGAGGAUGACCGCGUCUCCCUUGGGCUCUGGAGUCUGCGGUGGGAAGGGCUUGGUUUCAGCACCCUCUGGUCAGAGGCCGGCCGAGCCCAUGGGCGGUGAGGUUGGUGCCUGGGGUCGUGGCUGGUCUGGUACAGGUGGGGCUCAGCCCGGAGAAGCUGGAGCCGGUUCCCAGGCCCCGCGCUAUGACUGGGGUGGGGGCAACGUCUCUCGUGAGGUUUUUUACUUAAAUGUGAAACGGCUCAGUACGGUGGCCGCAGCCGGGAACAAGGUCCGACCCACCGAGGCCCAGCCUUGAACUUGCCGCGGGGGCACCUGAACACGGUUUUACAGCCCGGAUCACUGGCUUUCUUGAAGUUUGGGAACUGAUUGAUCAUGGUGGCGGGAGGUAAGGUUCAUUGUUCUUGAUGAACAAAAUUCUUAGGGCGUGAAGAGCCGAUGCUUUAAUUAACCCCCCGGGAGCGUCUCAGGCCUCCCCCCGGGAGCGUCUCAGGCCCCGUUUACGCUGAGUGUCUGGGGAAAGACGUGGUUUGGUUUUGUUUUUCUAGUAACCCAGAUGAAAUGUUUAAAAGCAUGGUUGGCAGCACAUUGAAUUUGGCAAAAUUAAGGUUUGCAUUUGUGAAAAUGCGGAUGCAGUUUGCGGUUCUUUUCAGACAUUUUGGUAAUUUGCAAAUACUUAUUUGCGAAACGAGUUUGUCAGAACAUUUUUUAGUAUCUAGAGGAAGAUGAGAUGGGCCGAGGAGGUCGCGCACCCCUGGAUCCCUGGAGGAGCUGGUGUGUUCUCUGUGGGGCGGGUGGACGUGGCCCGGACACACGGGCCGUGCUCACAGCCGGCCUGCGAGGGCUGCAAAUCCACGCCCGCCGUGUGGGUGAAAUGGCGGCUUUGCCUCCCAGACGCGUAGCUCCGGCGACGCAGAGGGAAGAACCUGAGUGCCCGCCAGGCCGAGCUCCGCACCCCACCCCCCGGCAGCCUCUGACUCCCGGCUCGGCUCCCGCGGUCGGGGAGGGUUGGAUUUCACACUUUGUUCUCGAGGCCGCACCAUUGAUUAAGCCCGUCGGGCAGGUUAACCAACAAGUUAGGUUUUCACGCCGGGAUCACAUUCCUCGCCGGGCGCUCCCACCCCACCCCAGCCUGUGCAGGUGGGACCCGGCCAGGCAGGCGGGCAGGGCGGCCAGGUGCGCCGAGGGGCGCCUCCACGGGGAGUGUGCUCCGCAGAGAACCCCUUGCUGGGGCGGCUCUGGGCCUCCUGACUCACUCCUGGAUUUUCCCAAGCUGAGUCUGGCCCCGCGGUGAUGAUUAACCCAACACCUCAACCGGCACCGCCACGCUAGCUCCACUUCCCGGCGACGGUUGACAAGAAAGCGCCGCGUGGGGCUCUCGGAAAACAGGGAAGGUCCGUUUUCGCUUUUCAUUUCUUGACCUGUGGCCACGGUAAGACUCGGCCGCCUGCCCACCCGACUCCUUGCCCCUCACCCCUGUGCCAGGCACAAGGCCCUGCGAAAUCCUUGGUCCCCCAGCUGAGCCUGCCGGCCCAGGCCACCAUCUCCCCACCCAGCCCUGGAGCCAGGGUCGGCCUCUCCUGCUAGCUGCUCGUUGGCUUUACAGCUUCUGCACUCAGGAGGCGCCUGGGAAUCCUGCCCUGGAACUUAGGAAGGAGGCUUCUCCCACCUGCCUGCCACACGGGUCUGUCCCUGGGUCCCAGCCUCUGCCGUGUGCCCCUCAGCCUCCCGGGUGAGAACGCAAUGACUGAUGAGCCUGGGGUGGCCAGGCCAGCUCUGGCCCUGUGGGGUUCCUGAGAAGGCUGGCCCUGGGUGGCCAAGGGCCUGGGGACACUGGCCCCGGGCCCUGAACCUGGCAGUGGGAGGCCGGCCCGUCCGCCGGGUGGGCUGGGAACUGUGUUUGGCCCCAGCUGCAAGGGACGAGUGCCGGGCACCUGCUGCCCUCCCCACGUGACCUGGCAGCCAGGAAUGGAGCUGAAAUUCAACUCUGCUCUGAACGGGAAGUCUUAGUUUCCUUUAGCUCAGAAAACAGGUGAAAUUGUGUUCCUGAAGCACUGAUUUGAUGGGAUUUGAUGGCAUUGGUGGCGAAGGCCUGUGAGGUGAUGGAAAGGGAAAGCCGGGUGCCCUGGAGCCUGACAGGCUGGGGCCAGGGCAGGGGACCUGGUGUGGGGUCUCCGGAGAGGGUCCAGGCGUGAGGGAAGCUGGGUCAGGACCUCGGAGACGUGGCCUUUGGAGGAGGAGACUGGAACCGGGUGGACCCGGCAGCAGGCGGGGGCGGGCGGACACGACCUUUGUUGUGGUCGGCGGGCAGACAGGGGAAUCGGCACAGGGCCUGCGCCCCACCUACAGCCUCUGUGGGUGGAAGGUGCCAGAAAACUUGAAGAGUGGCUCUGGCCAGCUCUCUGGGCCCAGUUGGCACCAGGUGGUUGCAGAGAAAGGGUGGGAAGGAGGACAGGAAGGACGGCGCCCCCCAGCUACUGAGCUUCCCAGCGAGUCCCAUGCAACCCUCAGCCGGGCGGCCCCCGGACCCAGCUCGGGCAGCCGUGGCCAUCUUACUGGGCAGCAUUGGAUGGAGUCAGGUCUCUAAUACUGCCUGGUAAUGAUGACGGCGGAGCCCUGCACGCAGCGACCGGCCGACCCCGUCCCGGCCCCCAGGGCCUCCCGCCGAGCCCCACACUCCCCUCCCACACAGCCCGCUCACCGGACCCCACCCCGUCCGGGCCAGAUGGCUCUGGGGAGAGUGACGGGGGGACGUGACCUUCGGAAGGGGGCUGGGGCGCCCCCCACCAGCAUCUCAGAGACCCCGGAAUGCAAGGCCUCCUGCAGCUGCACCCAGGGCGCCCCACAGUGAUCUGGGGAUUAGGACGCUCAGGUGUCCGGGCCCUGCCCACAGCGCCUGGGCGGGAGCUGCUGUCACACCCAGCAGGUGCGGGCCGAGCAGGACCCAACAGAGGGCUCAGGAGGGCAAGGCCCAACCGGGAGCCACGUGGAACCCAGAGGAAGCCGCCCCACCCAGCUUGGCCACAGCCAUCUUCCCUCCUGCCGGACAGGGUGGGCCGGCCACCGAGCAGACCAGUGCCCCCGCCUUGGUCCCGGGUCAGCAGCCCCAGGGUCCCCUUGCCCUGGAGGAAGCAGGGAGGGUGGGCCUGUGUGCAGUCUCAGGGCCCCCAAGCCCCUCUCCGCCAGCCCUGUCCGGUCCCGGCACCACCCCUGGCUGCUCACCGCUCCGGUUCUUCCCUGGGCUUCCACAGCAGCCCCUGCCUGCCUGGCGGGACCCCACGUCCCUCCCGGGCCCCUGUGAGCAUCUUACCGGACAGUGCUGGAUUUCCCAGCUUGACUCUAACACUGUCUGGUAACGAUGUUCAAAGGUGACCCGCCGCUCGCCGGGGACACCACCGAGGCACAUCCGGAGCUCCUACUCCAGGGAUGGGCUGGGGCGGAGGGCCGAGCGGGGCCAGCAGACGGGUGAGGGCGGAGGGCCGAGCGGGGCCAGCAGACGGGUGAGGGCGGAGGGCCGAGCGGGGCCAGCAGACGGGUGAGGGCGGAGGGCUGAGCGGGCGGCAGAGGGCCUGUGUCAGCUCCGAAGUCCAGCCCCCAGGGGAGGGGCCGGCCUCUGCCGGGGGUGCCCCCGGGGUCACUCACGCCCAGGCUGGGUCUGACACCUUGAGGACCCCUUGGUGCCUCCACAGGUGGCCUGGAGGGCAUCCUGCUCCCCCUCCCGGAGCCGCUGUGCCUCCCCCACCCAACCUCCCAGGCUGGGUUUUAGGGUGACCUGGCUCCAGGAAAGGCCAUAGGGCUGGGAUGCCAGGGCUGGAGAGGGAAGAGCAACAGUGGCCUCUCUCACGUGGUCCGGGCUCCGUGGAGGGUCUGCUGGGGGCGCAGGAAGGACAAGGUGGGUUCAGAUUCCCGAGCCCCACCAUGCAGGGGAGCGGGGACGCUCUGCGCUUGCCCUCUGAGGGACAAGGGGUCUCAUUCCUUCCCCCAGUCAACAAGAACAGGAACUUUGUCCAAAACCCACCAGGCCAGGAUGACCCAUUGUUUCAUCUUUUCCAUCUGCAACCAGGGCGCCUGGGACCGCACCCCCACACAAGGCCCCAGCCUGGGGAGGGGGCAGCCACCGGGGAGAGGCUGCCCUUCACUGUUACUCAUUAACCCGACCGAGCUUCAGGAAGCCAGCGAGGGGCUGCAGGGAACCUUUGCCAAGAGCAGGGCCUGGGUGACCAGGUGGCUCCCGGGUACCCCCACACAGCCAGGCUGGGCUGGGACCAGGUGCUGGGAUGGGGGCUGUCAGGGAAGUGCCUCGGGGGCUCGUUCUGCAGACCCAGGAGGGAUCAGGGCAGCUGCAGGAGGUGGCAGGAGCCGCCCCCGGGGCCUUCCCUUCACAGGCCCCGCAGACACCAGCCCAGGACCCGGAGGCCACCCACACCACCGCCGGCCGAUGGGCGUCUUACCAGACAUGGUUAGACCUGGCCCUCUGUCUAAUACUGUCUGGUAAAACCGUCCAUCCGCUGCCUGAUCACCGUUAGAGGAGAGAGCUGCCUGCCCUGCAGCUCAUCAGUGCAAAGCCGCCCGGUCUGGGGCUCUCAUGCCCCCCUCACUAUGGCCUGUGCCCAUCCGCAGCCCAUCAGUGCAAAGCCGCCGGGGUCUGGGGCUCUUGUGCCCCACCCUCGCCAUGGCCUGUGCCCACCCGGCCUCCUGGGGCCCUCGAGCUGUAGUCCCCGGGCAGAUGCUGUGGACCCCGUGCUAUCAGCCUGGCCCCUGGGGUCACAGUCACAGAUACCCGGAGCCCCACCCCACAGCCCCAGCCCCCUCGCCACCUGGGGAGGCUGAGACAGAAGCAGCUGGGCCCCCCAAAGUGCCUGAGCCCAGGGCACGGAGGAGCACAAAUGCCCAGCAGGGACAAUGUCACAGCGUCUCAGCGGCCAGGCAGCAGGACGCAGAGACCUCUGGGAGGUUCCCGGGGCCAGCCCUGGCCCUCCUCCUCCAGGGGCCAGCCGUGGGAUGCAGACCACACUCUCCCUCCAGGGCCCAUCUCUGGGGCUGAGGCGGGCGGGGCCGGUGCCCAGCUGCAAGACCAUGGGAUAGGGAAGGCAGGUGCUUGGGGCCACGCAGCCCUGCACUGGGGGCCCCUCCACCCCAGGCGGCUCACGAGGUGUCAUCUGGAGCUGUCCCCAAGCCGGGAUCUGCAGGUUGACCUCCCCCACCCGGGGCUAUCUCCAGACCCUCUUUCCUCCCUGGGGAGAUGGGGCAGUCCCCCGCAGGGCCAGCUGAAACCACCCCCAUGCUGCUGCCGCCUGAGCGACGUGUGUGGGGAAGAACUUGGAGUGCCACCCCCAGAAUGUGGCGUCCACCUCACCAGACCGCACGGGUGAGCCCUGGACUGCAAGGUGCAUAUAACACAAGGUUUGGACACACCUGGAGAGCUCGGGCCAGGCAGGGCCACACCUGUGAGCCUGAGCUCAUCCAACACCGCCCGGAGCUCGGGGACCUUCCCCAUCCCAGCACCUCCUCACCGCUGUGCCCGUCUGGCCAGUCCCUCCAAGCACCCCUCGGAUGAAGUUGCGCCCCACACUGCAGUGGGGCUCACUCUCCACAGCGCCUGCUGCGUUGCACGGGGUGUGACAGGAAGGACCCUGCUGGGGCUGGCGGGGCCGUACCCAGAGCCUCCCUGUGCGGUUUCUCCUCCUCCUCCUCCUCUCCAUAAGCACCGGGAACAAAACAGAAAAAAGUCUUUGUAUAGUAAUAAAGUCUGCAGUUCACGCACCCAUGCUUGGACCAGCUCCUUAUUUUAACCACACGUGCACAGACCCCCGCCGUGCAAAGGGCCCAGCUGAGGACAGAACCCCAGACACUGCAUCCGGCCCCGGAGGCCCCCAAGGUUCCUGGGAGAGGCUCCCUCCCUCCCUUCCCUCCUCUUUCCCUCCCCCUCCUCCUUCCUCUCCUCCAUCCCUCCUUCCCCCUCCUCCCUCCUCCUCCUCUCUCCGUCCCUCCCUCCCUCCUUCUUUUGCUCAGGAAUCUUCCCUGACUCUCCUGUGGUCAGCUCAGGUCAAGGUUCUGGGGGAAGGGGGAGUCCCUGAGUGGAGACACCUCAGCCUGUGCUGAAGGGAGCUACCGAGGGGGCAGCCGGUGGCCCUGGGGGGCCUCUCUGAGCAGGUGACCAAGAGCGUAUGGUGCCGGCCAGCAGGAGCGAGGGCUGCGGACAGGAUGGAGGCAGCCAGGCGCCAGCCAGGAGGGCUUCCUGGUCCAGCCACACCUGCCCCGGUGACAGCCACAGGUUGGUGGCAAAGGGGCCACCUCCCUUCCAGUGGCAGGGCCUGGCCUGCCUGGAGACCCCACCCACUGCCCGAGAGGUGCCAGGCCUCCCCCAUUCUGCCUGGCCCUGGGGGCUGCACCCACCUGGAC
This 12275-nucleotide long non-coding RNA is filed under the name Homo sapiens (human). RNAcentral describes it as "non-protein coding lnc-TTLL10-3:4". The stretch from base 9171 to 9239 matches the Rfam family "mir-8/mir-141/mir-200 microRNA precursor family". Lineage: Eukaryota; Metazoa; Chordata; Mammalia; Primates; Hominidae. The record is from RNAcentral.